Molecule: long non-coding RNA, 1357 nt
Filed under: Homo sapiens (human)
Lineage: Eukaryota; Metazoa; Chordata; Mammalia; Primates; Hominidae
Description: HSALNT0019011
Source: RNAcentral
UAUAAACCUUUGAAAUGUCAUUAAAUAUCCACAUUUAUUUUGAGCCAUGUGCCAACAUAGAUUGAGGGGGUAAUGUUAAUGUUUGCAUAAUGUGCAAUCUGCGUAACAACAAUAUAUAGGCAUACAUGUUAACAUGUUUCAAAAUUAGACUUGUUAAAUAAUUCUUAAGAGCACACGUGAAGAGUUUGGCACAAUUUUUGAGCUUUAUGACCUUUAAAAUUUAUGUAAUUUUGAGUAGUUUUCGCUUUCACCCAAAGUUUGUUACUUUUAAUUUUUCAAAGGCCAAAGAUUUUUCAUCUUUGUUAAUGAUGUUUUUGAUAACUGCUUCUGAAUUUUGCCAGGAAUUGAUAAACUCUUUAUUAUUAUUUUUGAAAAAUAGCAUUUCUUCCACAAUGCAGCUUUUUGGAGCACUUUCCUUGCCAAAGUUUUCCCAAGACAUUCACAAAAAACAUUGCCAGCAGAUCUAAUUUCCUGAGUGAUAUUUUAUUUACUUUUUCUGCAUCUGGACAUUUUUAAAGAUUAAAAGAUAUAGGUGCUAAGCUACAUCUUAUGAUGAUUACAUAAUUGGUUUCUGCCUUCUAAGUGGGAGAAAAUGUUCGUAAUGAUGAAAACGUAAGAAAAUGUAAAAAUUGAAGAUUGUGGCAUUUGCCCUUGAGUAGGCUGACUAGAAGUAUAAAACAAACAAACAAACAAAAAAACUUGCUUAAUUAUAGGUUUUUCUGAAAGCCUGAAUAAUUUGGCCGUGGAAUGCAUGGUAUUAACUGUCUUAGUUUAAUGUCUGCCACUGUCCAACUCCACUUUAUUCAGGUCAGUUCUUCACGAAUUUCCUCAACAGAAUUUAUCACUAGCCAGAGGAUGUCCUAAUUGCAAAGUGCUGCUUCAAGUAUUAUACACUUUUAAGUUAAGUUGUCUUUUUUUCUCAUUGUUUUUUUCUCAUUGAUUUGAGAAUUUUAUAUAUUCUGUUUACAGGUAAUUCAUUAAUUAUGCAUUUGCUGGUAUUAAAUUUCUCAGAUUUACUCUGAAUAAAAAUAGCUUCAUUUCACUUAUAAUUUGAAGAAUACUUGUACUGCAGUAGUAUCCAAUAUUGCCAGUAAUUUUCUUUUCUCUUUUUUUUUUUUUUUUGAGACAGACUCGCUCCAUUGCCCAGUCUGGAGUGCAGUGGUGCUAUCUCGGCUCACUGCAAGCUCCGCCUCCCAGGUUCACAUCAUCCUCCUGCCUCAGCCUCCCAAGUAGCUGGGACUACAGGCGUCCACCAUCAUGCCAGGCUAAUUUUUUUGUAUUUUCAGUAGAGACAGGGUUUCACCGUGUUAGCUAGGAUGGUCUCAAUCUCCUGACCUCGUGAUCCGCCUGCCUAGGC